ACAUGUGUAUCCUCAUUCUCUUAGGGAUUUGACUUUAACGAAUUCAAGAUGAGUCCUGAGAUGAAAAAAAGAGUAUCCACAGUUAUAGCUUGUGCAAGAGCGACAUUUCAAUAUGGCUUCAUUCCAGCUGUGAUUUAUCUAGGCUUUAAAAGGGGUGCUGAUGAGGGAAUGCCGGAACUGACAUGGCAGAGUCUGUUGUGGCAGUGAGUUGGACCAGAAUGCUUAAACACCAGCAUCACCAUCAAUAGCAUGCAUCAUUCAGGAUUCUCAUGAACUAUUAAGUCAACAGAGUGAUAUUGUGACAGUUGAAAUAGUAGCAUGAAAUAGCCCAAACUCAUAAGUUGAUAUCAUCCAUGAUUACACUAUAGAUACCAGGACAUGGUGAGAAAACAACGUGAUGGACAGAACUGUAAAACAGAUAAUUAUACAGAUGUAUUGUUCAGUGUGAUAUUAAAAUUUUAUUGAUUUCUGAA
This is a long non-coding RNA of Ylistrum balloti, 473 nucleotides long. RefSeq lists it as uncharacterized. The transcript has 3 exons. NCBI's taxonomy places the organism in Eukaryota, Metazoa, Mollusca, Bivalvia, Pectinida, Pectinidae. The record is from RefSeq and is a predicted model, not a curated record.